GAUGAAGAACAUAGCGAAAUGCGAUAAGUAGUGUGAAUUGCAGAAUUCAGUGAAUCAUCGAAUCUUUGAACGCACAUUGCGCCCCUUGGUAUUCCAUGGGGCAUGCCUGUUCGAGCGUCAUUUGUACCUUCAAGCUCUGCUUGGUGUUGGGUGUUUGUCUCGCCUCUGCGUGUAGACUCGCCUCAAAACAAUUGGCAGCCGGCGUAUUGAUUUCGGAGCGCAGUACAUCUCGCGCUUUGCACUCAUAACGACGACGUCCAAAAGUACAUUUUUACACUCUUGACCUCGGAUCAGGUAGGGAUACCCGCUGAACUUAAGCAUAUCAAUAAGCGGAGGA
RNAcentral lists this unclassified non-coding RNA (337 nucleotides) under soil metagenome. RNAcentral describes it as "partial contains 5.8S ribosomal RNA, internal transcribed spacer 2, and large subunit ribosomal RNA". The stretch from base 1 to 120 matches the Rfam family "5.8S ribosomal RNA", at positions 35 to 154 of the family's 154-position model. The record is from RNAcentral.